CACAGGCAGGGGGAAUGGGGAGGGGACGGUAGCGUCAGCCUACACCCACACGCAGGUUAGAGCCUUGGACGGGGAAGCGGAAAAGGCUUAGCAGCUACUAAUGGGUUCUAUUAAUAGUAGUAGUGUUAGGUAGGCUGCACUGGCUGUAUUCUGCCCCCAUGCCUAUCAUUCCCUCACUCUGUGACCCUGGGCGAGUCUCUUCCUCAUCCUGGUGCUCAGUUGCCUUUUCAUAAAGAAAGGGUUGAUUCCCCAUGAUCUGUUGACUCCUUUGCUUUUGGAUAUUUUGGAAGACGCCCUGCGUCACGGGCUAGUUAAUUGUGAACGUCAGGGAAAGCACCAGAGUAGAGAAGCACUUCCAGGAUCCAGAGCCAGGAGGAUGCUCAAAAGGAAGGGAGGAGAGAUGCCCUUCGGCCAAAGGGAGAGCUUGGAGGUUUCCUGAUAAAAGGUCCUUUGGAAACUUUGAUUCUCUUCUCACCAAGUUGAACGGAGAUGUGUUCCCAUAGUAAGAGUGAGGCCCCUGCAUUUGCUGCCCUCGGUUUUCCCAACUAACACCAGGGCCUCCCCCCUGUACCCCAUUCAUAUGCCUCAGAAGCUGACAAUGACUGUUGGGCUUUUCCAAUGAAUACCAGAACACCAUUUCCUGCAGCCUGAAAAGAAGACAGUAUAAUUGUUUGGCAGCAAGAGGCCAAGCAGGAAACUAGAGAUAUGGUGACGGUAGUGGUCCCAGGGAGGAGCUUUAACCUGAGCACCACCCACAGAAGGCAGACCACCCUCCCAGCCGCAGUGCAAAUGAAUGUUGGCCCCCACCCAGGUCCCCAAGUGCUUUCCCAGUCACGCCCCAGCUGCCAGGUUUUUUUCUCCAGGCCUACUACAGAUGGGUUACCCUGACUCCACCCCCAACACCCUCCAAUGAUUAGAACCACUGACUCCUCCCUCCCAUGCCUGCCUCCAUGGCAGGCCCCUGCAGAAACCAAACAUAGUCACCUUAGACUCUGGCAUACUGAGACCAGGGCUUGAUCCUGGCCCCCUUGCCUCCCUGGCAAUUUAUCAUUUAAUAAAAAUAUUGUUAAAAAA
This is a long non-coding RNA of Homo sapiens (human), 1074 nucleotides long. Lineage: Eukaryota; Metazoa; Chordata; Mammalia; Primates; Hominidae. The record is from Ensembl.